RNAcentral lists this long non-coding RNA (2497 nucleotides) under Mus musculus (house mouse). RNAcentral describes it as "long non-coding RNA chr3:65678385-65680882". Lineage: Eukaryota; Metazoa; Chordata; Mammalia; Rodentia; Muridae. The record is from RNAcentral.
UUUUUUUUUUUUUUAAGCCCACUGUCUUAUUUCAAAAAUUUUCUGCCAAUUUGGCCAAAAUUUACUAUACACCCAUGUUUUUUGCUAAAGGCAAAGUUUAGUUUACUUAUUGCGUUUCCUGGCAGCUGUGCAUGUGCCAUGGUGUAUGUGGAAGUAAGAGGACAGCUUUCAGUAGUUGGUUCUUUCCUGGGAAUUAAACUCAGGUCUUCAGGCUCUGCACUUGGAAAGGCAUUUACAUGCAAAAUAUCUGAAGUUUUAUACUGCUUAUACCUUUGUCUAAAGUUUGUUUCUUUUCUUUAUACAAGCAAACUAGAAAGGGCCGUGAAUAUGCGGUAUAUUUAACAGAAAAAAGAAAAAGGAGGCCAAGCUUUUGGAGCAGGGAGUGCUCCAUCGAGCAGCAGGAGGCGUUAGGUGAUUUUAUAGUUAAGUAUGGUCAGGAACGCCGACAAAGGUUUAAGCUAAAUUUACUUCUUAAAAGUUAUCAUGUUUUUUUUUAUUAAAUAACUAUAAUUUUAGGACUACAAACAAUACAUUUAAGGAGGUUGUUUAUAGUAUAUAUUUUAGGUGGUUCUGUAUCUGUUCUGUGUACUCCACUUGUUCUGUGUACUCCACUUCCUCCAACAGAAGAGGCAGAAGCUUCCUGGUAAUGAUGGCCCGUUGUCGGGAAUGACAGUGUGCUAUUAUUUUACUUUGAAAUGAAAAUGAUAGAACACUGAGUUAGAAGAAGGAAACACAAAUUAUAAUUCACAACAAAUAGAUAACUGACUUCAUGUGGAUCCAUAAUUACAAUAUCUCAUAACUUCUCCAGCUUCAGAAAAGGGUGCCAAGCAAUGAAGUCCACAGACACUAAGACUUGAAAAAGUUAUAUUAUUUCUGUUACAGUUUUGCCUAUAGAAAACUAUUUAUAAUUGAACAAAACUGAGAAUCUAUGUGCCAUAUGUGUAUUUAGUAGAUAAUUCAGGGAUCCUGGUUAUACUUGACCCAGUUUCAGGACCAUUCUUUUAGGCCUAUGAUUAUUUUAUUAUUUUGUUUCUAGAUCACAAUGACUAUCAUAUUUUUCCUUGAUGAACAUUUAGGAAACAUCAAAAAUGCACUGCUUUACUUAUUUUAGCUUUUCAUCUCUUGUUUUUUUUUUUGUGAUGAGUGCUAUUUAUUUUAAUACCUUUUACAAUGUGAAGUUUAUGAUUUCUGUUUCAUACAACCAGCUACAGAUCUACUUUAACUAUCAAGAAUUUUCUUUAGUGCAAGGAUAGGGCAUUUUCCAGGAGUAGGGAAAAUGACAAACGGACGAAGUUUAGGGAUAACGUGCCUUAGAGUAAGCAACAGAAUGCUCUAAUCAAUGAGAAGGAAUCAAAGGGACUCCAAGGAAAUGCCCAUCUGUUCUGAAUGAGCUCAGGUCUCUUGACUGGGUAGGUGAGCUUCCCAAGGGCUCAUAGUAUUCUGAAUGGGAUUGCAGUCACUGUUAUCUCUGAGGACUGCUGAGAGGGUGAUAUGUAAAUGUUGUUCCAUGUAGGAACUGCUAUUGGAUAACUCCAGCCAAGGCUUUAGAGUAAAUUAUUAAAGUGUGGCUUUCAAGAGUUAGGGUUUGUUUGUUUGUUUAUCUACUUAGAUGGGGUCAUAGUGAAUAGCCCUGUCUAAUCUGGGAACUCAGUCUGUAGAAUAGGAUGGCUUAACUCAUGAGAACCACCACCUGUGCCUCUUGACUGUUGGGAUUAAAGGCCUGUACCAUUAUACCCACACUAAGGUAUAUUAGUGAAGGCUGAAAUCCUUGGACUAGUUUUAUAUUCACUAAGAGAUAGCAUAUGCCCCUUGCUAUUUCAUUUAAACCUUUCUUUAUUAUACUACUUUAUUUGUACUGAUGUGCACCUCAAUACAUGCACUGAUGUCCGAGAGUCACUUACAGGAGCUGGCGCUUCUAUCUUGGAGGUCCAGGGAUUAACUUGAGCUUGGGAGGCUUGGCAGCAAACAUCUGUACAUGUUGCACUAUCUUGCCCAUUUCUAUCUCAAUUUCUCUUAAAAAAGGAUUUUAAAAUUGUAUGCAUAUACAAUUUAUGUAUAACUAUGCAUUGCAUUUGUUCCUGACUCCCAUAGAGGUGAGAAGAAGGCCUCCGAUGCUUUUGAACUAGAGUUACAGAUUGUCGUGGGUCACCAUUUAGAUGCUGAGAACUGAACCUAGGUCCUUGCAAGAGCAGCAAGUACUUUUAACUUCUGGGCCAUCUCACCAGCCCUCCUUUCAUUUUUUUGUCUGUGGAUACAAGCUUUAAAAACUAUUUUAGGCAUAGAAUACAUGAACUUUUACGACAAUGGCUGAUAAAGUUUGUCUUACUAUUAUGAAAGUAGCUUUAGGCUAUUUGCAGAAGUAAUUAGCAGUUUCAUAAUGAGUUGUAUGGGGAACAGUAUUUAGUAAUUGGAACUAGUACCAACUAAGGUGAUGUGGUGUGUGAAGUUCCAGCCUUGACACAUAUUGAAUAUACAUUUUAUGUGUGUGUGUGGGGGG